RNAcentral lists this long non-coding RNA (424 nucleotides) under Helianthus annuus (common sunflower). Its description in RNAcentral is "hypothetical non coding rna". Lineage: Eukaryota; Viridiplantae; Streptophyta; Magnoliopsida; Asterales; Asteraceae. The record is from RNAcentral.
UUACCUCGUUCAUUCCAUUCCCUCAUUCAUUCCAUUACCACAUACCAAACAGACCCUAUGUUGAAAAGGGUUGGCAAUGGUUAGACACUUGGUGAAGUGGUAAACUUUUUUUAAAAAAAAGGUGUGAUUGGUUAAAGAUGGCAUGGACCCCACUACCGACGGAGCUUAAAUGAGUUCUUGUUAACAUUUUUUGAAAAACAAAAUUCAUCUAUAAUGCCGACACGAAAAAUUAAUAUGUUUGAAAUAUAACUGCUAGCUAUAUUUGACUAAUAUAGUAAGAUGAUAGCUAGAUAGUAGAGGUGAGGGUCCAUGAAUGACACUACAAGAAAUUUUGUCUGACAAGGGGUCGGAAACGUAUAUACCCAAAAAUUUGUAUACGAAAUACAUACUCUCCACUACUGAACGAAAAGUUAAAUGUGUUUAA